UUUCCUGGUAGAAUGGCAUAUCUUAAUACAGGAGGUAUAUUUUAAUUAAUUUAUUUAUUUUCCUGGUAAGCUAAAGCUGAAUAUGGUCAUUAUUUGUGACUUUCAGUAAAUAAUUUUCCAACCUAAUCAGUUUUGUGUAAGAAAGAAAAUAUAGAUUCAAUGUAUAUAAUAAUAUUAGUCUCAGAAAGAUUUUUCAUUACUAUCCAACAUGUUUAAAGGAAAAUAAGUACAUUGGCAUUAUUAUUAUUUUUUUAAUUUUGAAAUUGUAUGAAAUUGAUAAAUACAUGAAUAUUUAAACACAAGAAAAGGAAAACUGGGUCAUCAAUAAUCCAAUAAUCUACACCAAUAUAGGAGGAAGAUAGAAUGUCAAGAACUUUGUACUUAUCGAUAAUGUUAAACUAAUGAAGCAGUUUUAUGGGGGAUUAUCUCCAUUAUUAUUUUCUAGGAAAGCUGCUACUGUACAGUAAGACAGGACCAUCUGAAUGCAUCAUCAGCACUGCUCAUAAAGUCUCAAACCAUCUGUGAAUGAAGGUACUUACAUGAUGUAACUCUCCAAGAUACUGACACUCGCAUGACUGAACCGCCUGUUGAACUUCAUGGCAGUGGCUACUUCACUCAGGUCUUGGCAAACACAUCUGUCACAGCUGAGAUACAGCACACCUCUCAACUUUACCCGUGACACUUGUGAUGAUAACAACUCUCUGUGGUUACUAUAAACUGGUCUAACGAAGCUCUAAGAAUGGUCCUCUAUGUUCUUAUAGUUGCUACAAACAGGUAAAGUACUCUAAGAGAACUGUUAUCCCAUCAGUUAUACCCAAGUUUGAUCUACAUUCUGUCUCCUUUCCUUCCAGUGUGUUUAUUAAAACUUCCCU
RNAcentral lists this long non-coding RNA (872 nucleotides) under Anas platyrhynchos platyrhynchos (common mallard). RNAcentral describes it as "lncRNA (ENSAPLG00000018314.1)". Lineage: Eukaryota; Metazoa; Chordata; Aves; Anseriformes; Anatidae. The record is from RNAcentral.